AGGACAGUAGCUCAAUUGGCAGAGCAAUCGUCUCCAAAACGAUAGGCUGCGGGUUCAAUUCCUGCCUGUCCUG
This 73-nucleotide transfer RNA is filed under the name Thermoflexales bacterium. RNAcentral's name for it is "tRNA-Trp". It matches the Rfam family "tRNA". From Rfam's summary of the family: Transfer RNA (tRNA) molecules are approximately 80 nucleotides in length. Their secondary structure includes four short double-helical elements and three loops (D, anti-codon, and T loops). Further hydrogen bonds mediate the characteristic L-shaped molecular structure. tRNAs have two regions of fundamental functional importance: the anti-codon, which is responsible for specific mRNA codon recognition, and the 3' end, to which the tRNAs corresponding amino acid is attached (by aminoacyl-tRNA synthetases). tRNAs cope with the degeneracy of the genetic code in two manners: having more than one tRNA (with a specific anti-codon) for a particular amino acid; and 'wobble' base-pairing, i.e. permitting non-standard base-pairing at the 3rd anti-codon position. Lineage: Bacteria; Bacillati; Chloroflexota; Thermoflexia; Thermoflexales. RNAcentral also lists the same sequence under 1 other name. The record is from RNAcentral.